CCCUAGCUUCACGGGAUGCUUAUUCCUCGCCUCAUUAUCGUCAAACUUAGCUUUAAGCCCUCGUCUAUCCGAGACCAGCUUAUAAGACUCCGAUCGUUCGACACUUCGCCAGAUGUUUAUCCCUGGCUUCGCGAGAUGCUUAUUCCCCACCUCAUUAUCGUCGAGCUUAACUUUAAGCCCUCGUCUAUCCGAGGCCAGCUUAUAAGACUUCAAUCGUUCGACACUUCGUCAGAUGUUUAUCCCUGGCUUCGCAAGAUGCUUAUUCCCCCACCUCAUUAUCAUCGAGCCUAGUUUUAAGUCCUCGUCUAUCUGAGGCUAGCAUAUAAGUCCCCGAGAGUUCGAAGUUCGCCAGAUGUUUAUCCCUGGCUUCACGAGAUGUCUUUUCCUCGCCUCACUAUCGUCGAGCUUAGCUCUAAGUUCUUGGCUAUCCGAGGCUAGCUUGUAAGACUCCGAUAGUUUGACAGUUCAUAAGAGAUUUAUUCGUGGCUCCACAAGAUGAGUAUCACUCGCUUCAAUAUCGUCGAGCCUAACUCUAAGUCCUUGUCUAUCUGAGGCCAGCUUAUAAGACUCCGAUAGUUCAACAGUUCGUCAGAUGUUUGUUCCCUGGCUUCGCAAGAUGUCUUCCUCACUUCUCACCAUCGUCGAGCCUGACUCUAAGUCAUCGUCAUUCCGAGGCAAGUCACUAAGCCUCCAAUAGUUUGAGACUUAUUCGUGGGAUGUCUAUU
RNAcentral lists this long non-coding RNA (725 nucleotides) under Olea europaea subsp. europaea. Lineage: Eukaryota; Viridiplantae; Streptophyta; Magnoliopsida; Lamiales; Oleaceae. The record is from RNAcentral.